This 16-nucleotide transfer RNA is filed under the name Bryoxiphium norvegicum. RNAcentral describes it as "partial tRNA-Phe". Lineage: Eukaryota; Viridiplantae; Streptophyta; Bryopsida; Bryoxiphiales; Bryoxiphiaceae. The record is from RNAcentral.
AAAAAGCCGGAAUAGC